This 484-nucleotide ribosomal RNA is filed under the name uncultured bacterium. Its description in RNAcentral is "partial 16S ribosomal RNA". It matches the Rfam family "Bacterial small subunit ribosomal RNA", at positions 29 to 507 of the family's 1533-position model. The record is from RNAcentral.
AUUGAACGCUGGCGGCAUGCUUUACACAUGCAAGUCGAACGGCAGCGCGGGCUUCGGCCUGGCGGCGAGUGGCGAACGGGUGAGUAAUACAUCGGAACGUGCCCAGUAGUGGGGGAUAGCUCGGCGAAAGCCGGAUUAAUACCGCAUACGACCUGAGGGUGAAAGCGGGGGAUCUUCGGACCUCGCGCUAUUGGAGCGGCCGACGGCAGAUUAGCUAGUUGGUGGGGUAAGGGCCUACCAAGGCGACGAUCUGUAGCUGGUCUGAGAGGACGACCAGCCACACUGGGACUGAGACACGGCCCAGGCUCCUACGGGAGGCAGCAGUGGGGAAUUUUGGACAAUGGGCGAAAGCCUGAUCCAGCAAUGCCGCGUGUGUGAUGAAGGCCUUCGGGUUGUAAAGCACUUUUGGCGGGAACGAAAAGGACUGUGCCAAUACCACGGUUCGAUGACGGUACCCGCAGAAUAAGCACCGGCUAACUACGUG